Molecule: transfer-messenger RNA, 337 nt
Filed under: Stutzerimonas marianensis
Lineage: Bacteria; Pseudomonadati; Pseudomonadota; Gammaproteobacteria; Pseudomonadales; Pseudomonadaceae
Description: partial transfer-messenger RNA
Rfam family: transfer-messenger RNA
About the family: Bacterial tmRNA, also known as 10Sa RNA or SsrA, is named for its dual tRNA and mRNA-like properties. Its role is to liberate the mRNA from a stalled ribosome.
Source: RNAcentral
CCUGGCUUCGACGUGGGUGCGGAGUUAAUGUAGGGCAUGCCGAGCACUCCAGUUUGCUCGUAAAUCUGUCUGGAAAUCAAUUAAACGCCAACGACGAAAAGUUCGCGCUCGCCGCUUAAACCCGGCGAACCGCUCACCGGAUGGCCGAUGGUCCGGGUUGAGGGUCGCAAGAUCUGAGACAGAGCGGUCAUUUACAUUGGCUGGUUCGAUAUAGGGUCACUAUGUAUCGAAUAAGACUAAGUGACUGGCGGCCUGCGUAGCGUGCUCCUGCGCGACGAAGGCAGCGAGAUUCAAAUCAGGCGGCUACGCAUGUAGAACUACUUAAUGAAGGCUUGCG